UCAGGCGCUUGUGAAGGUGUUGCUGCUCCUCUCUCUAUGAAUGAAGAUUGAACUUCAUCCCAGACUGCAACUUCUUUCUUCUGUCCAAAUUUGUGAGCCGCACUAGGACCACACACGGCUGUGGGUCCGACCCGGACCUGCACAUUUCGAUCCAGUGUGCCCGCUCCACACUCAACAGGCCCGACUACAACUCCAGCCCCAGGAAUCCAAUAAGGUCUUCACCUUCCUCGCGUUCCGGAAGACCCACGAGCUAGUAUUUGAUCUGAAGAUGAAGUUUCAAAAUCAACAGAUGAAGGGCUUAUGCCUGAACCAUUGACUCUCCUGCUCCUCGGAUGCUGCCUGACCCGCAGUUUUCGACUCUGAUUCUCCAGCAUUUGUGAGUCACUCAAUCCAUCGGGACUGCAACAAUUUUCGACUGU
Hemiscyllium ocellatum (epaulette shark) is the source of this 419-nucleotide long non-coding RNA. RefSeq lists it as uncharacterized. The transcript is spliced from 3 exons. The record is from RefSeq and is a predicted model, not a curated record. Lineage: Eukaryota; Metazoa; Chordata; Chondrichthyes; Orectolobiformes; Hemiscylliidae.